UACGGAGGGUGCAAGCGUUAAUCGGAAUUACUGGGCGUAAAGCGCGCGUAGGCGGCUUUGUAAGUCAGAUGUGAAAGCCCCGGGCUCAACCUGGGAACGGCAUCUGAUACUGCAUCGCUAGAGUCUGAUAGAGGGUGGCGGAAUUCCAGGUGUAGCGGUGAAAUGCGUAGAUAUCUGGAAGAACACCAGUGGCGAAGGCGGCCACCUGGAUCAAGACUGACGCUGAGGUGCGAAAGCGUGGGUAGCGAACAGG
This 253-nucleotide ribosomal RNA is filed under the name uncultured bacterium. RNAcentral's name for it is "partial 16S ribosomal RNA". It matches the Rfam family "Bacterial small subunit ribosomal RNA", at positions 524 to 776 of the family's 1533-position model. The record is from RNAcentral.